Molecule: ribosomal RNA, 315 nt
Filed under: uncultured bacterium
Lineage: Bacteria
Description: bacterial SSU rRNA
Rfam family: Bacterial small subunit ribosomal RNA
Source: RNAcentral
GAUGAACGCUAGCUACAGGCUUAACACAUGCAAGUCGAGGGGCAGCAUGGUCUUAGCUUGCUAAGGCCGAUGGCGACCGGCGCACGGGUGAGUAACACGUAUCCAACCUGCCGUCUACUCUUGGACAGCCUUCUGAAAGGAAGAUUAAUACAAGAUGGCAUCAUGAGUCCGCAUGUUCACAUGAUUAAAGGUGUUCCGGUAGACGAUGGGGAUGCGUUCCAUUAGAUAGUAGGCGGGGUAACGGCCCACCAAGGCAUCGAUGGAUAGGGGUUCUGAGAGGAAGGUCCCCCACAUUGGAACUGAGACACGGUCCAA